CGUCUUUAUGCUCUCAAAAGGACGUGCUGCUUGUUGAGCCUGCAUUUCCUCAGAGGUAGGGCCCAUGUGGGUGUGUCAGGCUGGAUCUCAUCUAUAAAGGAAGCUCCUUGUCCCUCCCUGUCUGCUGAUCAGUCGUCUUUCUCAGUGUGUCUGGAGGUCCUGAGGAAGCUGAUCGGCCAAACAUUGAAUGGAGCUUUUGUCUGGACUGUAUUAUAGGUUACUGGGAAUAUUCUGACUUGGCAGGGGACCAAAGUGACUCUCAGUGCAGAUAAUAGAGUCACUGAAAGAAAUGGACGCCGGUGACUCGACAUCUCAGAGCAACAUGGGGCCUGGCUCUGUCCUCUGUGAUGUGUGUCCUGGGCCAGAACAGAGCGCCGUCAAGACCUGCCUGACCUGCAUGGCCUCCUACUGUGAGACUCACCUCCAACCUCACAGGGUCUCUGAAGCGCUGAAGACACACAAACUGAAGGAGCCGAUUAGAAACCUCCAUGAGAGAAUCUGCACAAGACAUCAGAGAGUUCUGGAAAUCUUCUGUAGGACCGAUGAGACCUGCAUCUGCUCGAUGUGUGUGGCAACUGAACAUAAAAGCCAUGACACGGUGACACCUGAGGAGGAGAGAGCAGAGCGACAGGGUGACCUGGAAAACACAAAGGCUGAAAUGAGAAGGAGAAUUGAGGAGAAACAGAACAAACUGGUGGAGAUGAAUGAGAAAGCAGAGAGGAUUAGGAGCACUGCGGAGACAGAAUUGCAGGACUUCGAGGAGACCUUUGUUUCUCUUCUGAUUCUGAGGUCAAUUGGCCUCGAUCUGAUUAGAGAGCACGAGAACAGGGAACUGCACAAGGCUGAACAGCUCAUGAUGCGACUGGAAAAGGAGAUCAGAAAGCUGAGGAGGACACACGCUGAGCUGGCCGAGCUUUCAGAGACCAACGACCACAUCCACUUCCUCCGGAUGUACUCAUCUGUCAGUCUCCCCCCUGAAGAUCAGGACUCACCUGAGGCCUCUGUUAAUGAACUUGUCCUUCCUGAGACUCUGAGGAUGAACCUGUCUCGUCUGAAGAGGAAACUCUGGGAGAUCAGUGAGUGGGAAUUUGUGCCGAGCAGUGACACCGGUGUCAACACUUCUGGAAGCAGCCCACAAGAUCUGAGCAGUAGAAAUGGACUUAGACAAUACUUCUGUCCGCUCACCUUGGACCCCAACACAGCAAACGCGUGGCUUCACCUGUCUGAGAGGAACAAGAAAGUGAUAUUUCAGGGGAUGGUGUCCCCGUGUCCUGACCAUCCCGACAGGUUUGACUGGUGGUUCCAAGUUCUGUGUCAAGAGGCUCUGAAUGGGACUCGCUGUUACUGGGAGGUUGAGUGGAGCGGAGAAGGGGCAGCGAUGGGAGUCACUUAUAAAGGAAUCAGAAGGCAAGGAGAUGGCCAUGAGUGCCGCCUUGGCUUCAAUGACCAGUCCUGGAUUUUGUCCUGCUCUCAUUUCAGUUGCUCUCUGUGGCACAGUGAGACAAAGACAGAAAUUAGCAUCCCCCCCAGUCAAAGAAUAGGCCUGCAUCUGGACUACAGCGCUGGCUCUCUGUCCUUUUAUAGCAUCUCAGACACAAUGACCCUCAUCCACAGGUUCAAUGCCACCUUCACUGAGCCCCUCUAUGCUGGGUUUUGGGUUGGACAGAACUCCAGUGUGACAAUCUGCCCUCUGUGCCCAUCUGACCUGUGACUGGUGUCAUCGGCAGGUCACUUCUCGUCUUCUUUCACAUGUUGGAGUUCAUUUUUUAUUUCAUUCUUAAAUAUCAAAGAAGCCCCCUGCCAAUGGAUAUUCUGCCAUUGAUGCUCUCUGAGUCAUCAUUCUGUGUGGUCCUCAGCAUUAAAACAAUGAGAGCAGAUGACCUUCCACUGAGAGGACAUUAAGCGUCCCCCUUCAAGGUCCCGAAACUCUUCUUAGUUGAGCGUCUUUCAUGUCAGUGUGGCUCAGUGGUUAGCAUGGUGGCCUCACAGCUCUCUUAAACUAAAGUUCAAAUCCCAGCCUGGUUGAUAUCUGUGGAAUUUCUGUGCUUUCUCAAUCCUUAAUGCUUUUAUCCCAAGCCCCUUACCUAAAUCUUAUAUUUGAUGAGUGUGCUGGGUUGGACUGGCACCCUACCCAAGGCUGGGGUCUUCCCUUCUGAUCAGGAUUGACUUUAGCUUCAUGUGAUCCUAUGUCUGGUUCAUAUGGGCUCCUUGAAUGAAGAGUUUGGUGAGCAGAUGGAUGACUGCACCCGUCCCUUUGUUUUUAUCUGCCCACUGGUUCUUCCCCUUCUUCUCCAUCAGACUCAGCUAACAUGAUGAUGGCUUUGACCACCAUGACAUUAGUGGCCCUUAAAGUGGCCUCACCAGGUGGACGUCUCCAGCAGACCCCAUGACGUCAACGCAGAUACAGAGAGAUGCCAGCAUGAGUCUGAUGGAGU
This is an RNA transcript of Erpetoichthys calabaricus (reedfish), 2435 nucleotides long. It is a transcript of the gene named tripartite motif-containing protein 16-like, with no coding region annotated. The record is from RefSeq and is a predicted model, not a curated record. NCBI's taxonomy places the organism in Eukaryota, Metazoa, Chordata, Cladistia, Polypteriformes, Polypteridae. The transcript is spliced from 7 exons.